RNA transcript from Marmota monax (woodchuck), 2319 nucleotides. It is a transcript of the gene named prostaglandin E synthase 3, with no coding region annotated. The record is from RefSeq and is a predicted model, not a curated record. Lineage: Eukaryota; Metazoa; Chordata; Mammalia; Rodentia; Sciuridae. The transcript has 8 exons.
GGAUCGCGAAGGAGCAGGGUGGCCCCGCCCUUUCCGUAGAUAUCUCUAGAAAGCCGCGCAGGAGCCCGAAAACAAAGACUGCGCACGCGCGGCUACAGGGCCCGGGCAUUUUGCUGCGUCACCAGCCGCCGCCCGGCCUCACCACCCCUCGCUCGCACGCACGCACGUUCUUUCUCCGUCCUCGCGCCCCUUUUCCUACACUUUCCUCUUCUCCCCGGUCGAAGAGCCGCUCUCUUCGCGCGGUGCAUUCUGGGGAUCUAGGUCGAGCCCGCUGCCGCCGUCGCCUAAGGAGAGCGACUAGAGGCCGCGAUUGGGGAGAAAACGCCGGAGUCGCCAUCGGAGAGGAGCCGAUUCCCCAGCCGCCGCCGCCGGAGAGGCCCGCCCACCCGUUCGCCCGUCCCCCUGCCCCGUUCACAAUGCAGCCUGCUUCUGCAAAGUGGUACGAUCGAAGGGACUAUGUCUUCAUUGAAUUUUGUGUUGAAGACAGUAAAGAUGUUAAUGUAAAUUUUGAAAAAUCCAAACUUACUUUCAGUUGUCUUGGAGGAAGUGAUAAUUUUAAACAUUUAAAUGAAAUUGAUCUUUUUCACUGUAUUGAUCCAAAUGAUUCCAAGCAUAAAAGAACGGACAGAUCAAUUUUAUGUUGUUUACGAAAAGGAGAGUCUGGCCAAUCAUGGCCUAGGUUAACAAAAGAAAGGGCAAAGCUUAAUUGGCUUAGUGUGGACUUCAAUAAUUGGAAAGAUUGGGAAGAUGAUUCAGAUGAAGACAUGUCUAAUUUUGAUCGUUUCUCUGAGAUGAUGAACAACAUGGGUGGUGAUGAGGAUGUAGAUUUACCAGAAGUAGAUGGAGCAGAUGAUAGAGAAGAGGACAGUUGACGGAAGAAUUCAAAGGGUGUGCUAAAGUCUUACCAGGAAGCACACACCAAUUUUUACAGAAAGUUAGAUCUUCUGCUGUACAUCCAUUCUCCUUAGUAAGCCAGUAUACCUUAAUAAGUUCACUGAUUAAAUUCCUCUAUUCAAUAUAACUGUAUAUCUUUGCUACUUUAGUUAAAUAAAGUGCUUUGGCUUCUUCAGCUAAACUGCUUAGAUAAUAGGAUUAUUUGAUCAGCUUGGUAACUUUUUCUAUUUCUCAUUCUAUAGGAUUCACAAGACAGUGAUGAUGAAAAAAUGCCAGAUCUGGAGUAAGGAAUAUUGUCGUCGCCUGGAUUUUGAGAAAGAAAAUUACUUCUUCACAAGAUUUCAUAAUUGAGAAAAUUCCUGAGUUAUAGCUCUAAAGGCAGAUGCUGUAUUUGCCUCCUUUAACCCAUUUUUCAACCUGUUUUUCCCCCCUUUUUUAAAGGCUUCACUAAGGGUUGAUAAUAUACCAUUGUAUGGGGCAAAUUUAAGUCAGCUAAGGCACUAUCCUUAUGCAUGAACAUUUCCCAGACUUCCAUGAAGCUGUUGAGGUCCUAGGCAAUUGAUAACAGCAGUUGUGAUAAGUAAAAAUAUUUCACCUGUUCCUUUACUUUAUAAUAUAAUUACUGACACGAUAGGAAGCUCUCAGCUUAGGGAAAGAUAACUAAAUUUUAGGUUUUAGGAUAUGGACUCAAGAGUGGCUGAAACAAAUUGGCUGACAUCUUAAACUGAUAACCUGCCUUUCCUCUGGUGUACCCUACAGGAUUGUUACACUAAAGUUUAUUUUUCAAAAAAAUUACUGCAUAUUAUUGUAUGUAAGUGAUUACUUGUCAGUGUUCCAGAUGUAUCUUAGCUAAAACUAGUGAAUGCCCUUAACUUAGAUGGUUUUUGAAGCCUAUACAUUUGGUAUUGUUUGGCCCUUAAGCUUUUACAUCUCUUAGCAUGGAGGACGAAGAAAGCUGUACAUUGUUGCUUGAGAGUCUGUACAUUUAGACCAGAUUUGUAUUUGCACUGUCAGUAUGGCAAAUGAGUGAAAAAAUGUUAAUACACUAUUGGAUUUUUUUUAUUUUUUUUUUUAAUUCAGCUUAUCUGGCUGAAAACCUCAAUUUAUGUUCAUGACAGUGGGGAUUUUUUUAAAUGUCUACAUUCUUUCUAAUAAACUGUUGGAAGACUUCUUGGCUGUCCUUUUAAGUGUCUGGUUUACUGUAAAUUCAUGUAUUUACCAUUUACUGGAAUUUGAGUUUUUAUUUCUGAGGAAGAAUUUGGGGCUGUUUUUCUGUUUGGGGAAAAAAGAAGGCUUGCUGUAAUGUCACAGGAAACCUUUUAAAAGUUAAUCUGUAAUAGAAAAUUGUAGCUGAACUUUGCAGCGGCUGGAAAAGAAAGUGUUGUGAUUUGAUUGAAAUAAAACUAAAUCUGUUGUCCUCCUAAA